Long non-coding RNA from Asparagus officinalis (garden asparagus), 980 nucleotides. RefSeq lists it as uncharacterized. The transcript is spliced from 4 exons. The record is from RefSeq and is a predicted model, not a curated record. NCBI's taxonomy places the organism in Eukaryota, Viridiplantae, Streptophyta, Magnoliopsida, Asparagales, Asparagaceae.
CCGAGAUCAUCGUUUUCAUCGAUCGCGCUGCUCAAGAUCUCUCAGAGCCUUCGUCCUCCUCCUCAAUCUCCCCUCUUGCAACGGCGUCACCCGCUCUCGAAACCCUAGCUCUCCCCCGCUUUCACCCCAACCUCGCGAUCGCCUCCUCUCCUCGAUCCUCCCUCUCGAUCCGCGGCGGCGAACUAGGUUUCGGUGAGAGAUCUCUUCCCCUAUUCACAGGACUUAGCGUUUCUCGCCGUUUCCAGAAGGUUCGAUCAGCGGUGGCAGGUUCGACGGAUCCGAAGCCCGAUCGCCGUGGCUCGGUGAUCUCCGAGGUUCAGGAGACUGCCGCCGAGGUGCACAGUUUUUCCCUCGGGUAAAGAAGAAGAAGAUUUGAGAGGGCUGUUAGCGCGCAUUUUAGAGUUGACAGCAUUGGCGACUUACCGAAGCUGGUGGAAGACAUUAUUCAGACGUCAAUAAAGACAGGACCUAGGGGUGCAAUAAGAUUAGCUCAAGGCGUACAAGCUGUUAUUGGGGUCGGUGGGGAGUGGCUUAGUGACUUGUCAAAGAUGCGGACAGUUCCUGACAAAUCGUUCAUGAGCAUACCACGUGAUCGAAGACAUCUAGACACCCGGUACAAGGAUGGGAUAGAAGCUUUCUUAGCCUACUCUGACAAAAAUCCUCUACGGUCGCUAAGCGGGUCGAUUUUCUGUCCUUGUAAGAAUUGCAGGAACGGUAAAAUGCUUGCUAGGAGUGACGUAAGUUUUCAUCUGUCAAUCAAUGGAUUUGAUAGCUCUUAUGUAUUUUGGAGUCAUCACGGUGAAGGCGUCCCGGUGAUGCAAUCAGAGGAAGAAUUCACUGAAGUCAGCAAUCCGACAGUUAUAGUAUGCUAUUGAUAAUACUAUUGGCAAUGUCAUUACUUUUCCUCUUUAUCUUAUUAUUCACAAUUUUCUAAUGUAAGUCCUCUUUUGCUAGUCACUCAAUUGACUCUAUUUUAUUUU